AGAGUUUGAUCCUGGCUCAGGACGAACGCUGGCGGCGUGCUUAACACAUGCAAGUUGAACGGUCCGGCAUGGAAGCUUGCUGAAGUGUCGGGUAGUAGCGGACGGGUGAGUAAUGCAUGAGAAGCUGCCAUUGGGAGGGGGACAACAGUUGGAAACGGCUGCUAAUACCCCAUAUGCCGAAAGGUGAAAGGGAGCGAUCCGCCCGAUGAGGUGCUCAUGUCCUAUCAGCUGGUUGGUGAGGUAACGGCUCACCAAGGCGACGACGGGUAGCCGGCCUGAGAGGGUGACCGGCCACACUGGAACUGAGAUACGGUCCAGACUCCUACGGGAGGCAGCAGUGGGGAAUAUUGGGCAAUGGGGGGAACCCUGACCCAGCGACGCCGCGUGAGGGAAGACGGCCUUCGGGUUGUAAACCUCUUUUGUACGGGAAGAAGGACGUGACGGUACCGUACGAAUAAGUCCCGGCUAACUACGUGCCAGCAGCCGCGGUAAUACGUAGGGGACGAGCGUUGUCCGGAAUUACUGGGCGUAAAGGGCGCGCAGGCGGUAUAUCAAGUCAGCUGUCAAAGACUGGGGCUCAACCCUGGUAUGCGGUUGAAACUGAUAUGCUGGAGUGCUGUAGAGGCAAGUGGAAUUCCCAGUGUAGCGGUGAAAUGCGUAGAUAUUGGGAAGAACACCGGUGGCGAAGGCGACUUGCUGGGCAGCAACUGACGCUGAGGCGCGAAAGCCAGGGGAGCAAACGGGAUUAGAUACCCCGGUAGUCCUGGCCGUAAACGAUGAAUGCUAGGUGUGUGUGUAGAGAUACAUGCGUGCCGGAGUUAACGCGAUAAGCAUA
Molecule: ribosomal RNA, 835 nt
Filed under: uncultured bacterium
Lineage: Bacteria
Description: bacterial SSU rRNA
Rfam family: Bacterial small subunit ribosomal RNA
Source: RNAcentral